GCUCACUGCUCUUUCUGUCAUC
This 22-nucleotide microRNA is filed under the name Zea mays. RNAcentral's name for it is "zma-miR156h-3p". Its record names the gene zma-miR156h-3p. Lineage: Eukaryota; Viridiplantae; Streptophyta; Magnoliopsida; Poales; Poaceae. The record is from miRBase by way of RNAcentral.